UAGACGGCGUUUCCCGCUACGUUCUCGGGCC
Molecule: non-coding RNA, 31 nt
Filed under: Homo sapiens (human)
Lineage: Eukaryota; Metazoa; Chordata; Mammalia; Primates; Hominidae
Source: RNAcentral